RNAcentral lists this ribosomal RNA (1015 nucleotides) under Ralstonia sp. FL26-2. Its description in RNAcentral is "bacterial SSU rRNA". It matches the Rfam family "Bacterial small subunit ribosomal RNA", at positions 25 to 1018 of the family's 1533-position model. Lineage: Bacteria; Pseudomonadati; Pseudomonadota; Betaproteobacteria; Burkholderiales; Burkholderiaceae. The record is from RNAcentral.
CAGAUUGAACGCUGGCGGCAUGCCUUACACAUGCAAGUCGAACGGCAGCGCGGACUUCGGUCUGGCGGCGAGUGGCGAACGGGUGAGUAAUACAUCGGAACGUACCCUGUUGUGGGGGAUAACUAGUCGAAAGAUUAGCUAAUACCGCAUACGACCUGAGGGUGAAAGCGGGGGACCGUAAGGCCUCGCGCAGCAGGAGCGGCCGAUGUCUGAUUAGCUAGUUGGUGGGGUAAAGGCCCACCAAGGCGACGAUCAGUAGCUGGUCUGAGAGGACGAUCAGCCACACUGGGACUGAGACACGGCCCAGAAUUCCUACGGGAAGGCAAGCCAGUGGGGGAAUUUUUGGACCAAUGGGGGGCAACCCCUUGAUCCCAAGCAAAUGCCGGCGUGUUGUGAAAGAAGGCCUUCCGGGUUGUAAAGCACUUUUUGUCCGGAAAAGAAAACGCUCUGGUUAAUACCCGGGGUGGAUGACGGUACCCGGAAAGAAUAAGCACCGGCUAACUACGUGCCCAGCAGCCGCGGUAAUACGUAGGGUGCGAGCGUUAAUCGGAAUUACUGGGCGUAAAGCGUGCGCAGGCGGUUUUGUAAGACAGGCGUGAAAUCCCCGGGCUUAACCUGGGAAUGGCGCUUGUGACUGCAAGGCUAGAGUGCGUCAGAGGGGGGUAGAAUUCCACGUGUAGCAGUGAAAUGCGUAGAGAUGUGGAGGAAUACCGAUGGCGAAGGCAGCCCCCUGGGACGUGACUGACGCUCAUGCACGAAAGCGUGGGGAGCAAACAGGAUUAGAUACCCUGGUAGUCCACGCCCUAAACGAUGUCAACUAGUUGUUGGGGAUUCAUUUUCUCAGUAACGUAGCUAACGCGUGAAGUUGACCGCCUGGGGAGUACGGUCGCAAGAUUAAAACUCAAAGGAAUUGACGGGGACCCGCACAAGCGGUGGAUGAUGUGGAUUAAUUCGAUGCAACGCGAAAAACCUUACCUACCCUUGACAUCCACUAACAAGCAGAAUCAUCAGGGCC